CCUACGGGAGGCAGCAGUGAGGAAUAUUGGUCAAUGGACGAGAGUCUGAACCAGCCAAGUAGCGUGAAGGAUGACUGCCCUAUGGGUUGUAAACUUCUUUUAUAUGGGAAUAAAAUGUUCCACGUGUGGGAUUUUGUAUGUACCAUAUGAAUAAGGAUCGGCUAACUCCGUGCCAGCAGCCGCGGUAAUACGGAGGAUCCGAGCGUUAUCCGGAUUUAUUGGGUUUAAAGCGAGCGUAGGUGGAUUGUUAAGUCAGUUGUGAAAGUUUGCGGCUCAACCGUAAAAUUGCAGUUGAAACUGGCAGUCUUGAGUACAGUAGAGGUAGGCGGAAUUCGUGGUGUAGCGGUGAAAUGCUUAGAUAUCACGAAGAACUCCGAUUGCGAAGGCAGUUCACUGGACUGCAACUGACACUGAGGCACGAAAGUGUGGGUAUCAAACAGGAUUAGAUACCCGAGUAGUC
This 460-nucleotide ribosomal RNA is filed under the name uncultured bacterium. RNAcentral's name for it is "partial 16S ribosomal RNA". It matches the Rfam family "Bacterial small subunit ribosomal RNA", at positions 338 to 795 of the family's 1533-position model. The record is from RNAcentral.